AUUUAAACCUGGCUAUGGAAUCCGUCUCCACAGGACAUUAGAUUGAUCAUGCACCAGAACUAGGAAAUAGCUUCAAAAGAUCUGGACAUUUCUUCUCACUGGACAUUGGACAAUGUUCAACCAGACCACCUUCUCUGGGAAAGCAAGACACCAGGUAGAUUUUGGGAUGAACAUCACUGAGUGGCAUGUUUGGGUUUGCUGACAGCAAGUCGGGCGUUGUCUAAAUAGCCAUAAAACUGUGGAACUUUCAUAGCUCAUUGUCUCUGCUGGAAAAAAAAAUACAGGCAAUCUGUGAAGAGUAUGCAAAACCUCUGUGCAUUGGAUCUGGAGCCUCGAAAUAACAAAACUCCUGACUGAUG
This is a long non-coding RNA of Mauremys reevesii (Reeves's turtle), 359 nucleotides long. RefSeq lists it as uncharacterized. NCBI's taxonomy places the organism in Eukaryota, Metazoa, Chordata, Testudines, Geoemydidae. The record is from RefSeq and is a predicted model, not a curated record. The transcript has 3 exons.